AGGAGUGUGGCUCAAGUGUUAGAUCGCCUGCCUAGCAAGCAUGAGGUCCUGAGUUCAAUCCUCAGUACUACCA
This 73-nucleotide transfer RNA is filed under the name Dipodomys ordii (Ord's kangaroo rat). It matches the Rfam family "tRNA". From Rfam's summary of the family: Transfer RNA (tRNA) molecules are approximately 80 nucleotides in length. Their secondary structure includes four short double-helical elements and three loops (D, anti-codon, and T loops). Further hydrogen bonds mediate the characteristic L-shaped molecular structure. tRNAs have two regions of fundamental functional importance: the anti-codon, which is responsible for specific mRNA codon recognition, and the 3' end, to which the tRNAs corresponding amino acid is attached (by aminoacyl-tRNA synthetases). tRNAs cope with the degeneracy of the genetic code in two manners: having more than one tRNA (with a specific anti-codon) for a particular amino acid; and 'wobble' base-pairing, i.e. permitting non-standard base-pairing at the 3rd anti-codon position. Lineage: Eukaryota; Metazoa; Chordata; Mammalia; Rodentia; Heteromyidae. The record is from Rfam by way of RNAcentral.